CAAAUGCUCUGUUUUGGUUACAGUAAGAAGAAAGCUCAGAAAACACUUUCAUCUAUUCGAAUUUGAUAGGGAGGGUGAUGGGGAUGAUCGAGAAUGAUGGCUCCCUGAUCAGACCAUACGUGAUCUGUUCUGUUGUAAGUGCAAUAGUGCAGGUGGCAUCAUUGCAGGCCGCAUCAGCAUUUGCACAUGAAGUAGGUGUUAAGGGGCUGAGGAUUAUUUCUGGUGCAAAUUUCAGUAAGCAAAAGUUGUAUAGAGAAAUUGUGGAAUGGUUCUUAUUUCAACUACGACAAUAAUGGUAGCCGCUCAAGUGCAAAGGAUGAUAAAUUUUGUUAUACAAACCUGUUUUCAACUAGGCUUUGCAGCGAAAUAGCCGGAAUGGUGACAUUGCAAGAGACUGAGAAUGAUUUUUGACCAAAGUGACCAUUUGGAGAAAAAUGCAUACCAGUUUGUACAAGUUACAGAUGAGCCUGCAAUGGCAUUGGCACCAGGACUAGCUCCCAUUUUUUCUACAUUCCAAGACCAAGAUUCUGCUGCCUCAGCACACCUACUGCACCUCCUUUAACCAUGGUGUAGAUUCCUCCCUUCCCAGAUAUUUCUGCUGAAUCUAUCCUCUCGUUACAGCAUCUUGGCCAACUUCUCACCAGAUAUUUCAACACCUUUUUACCCCUUAGUAGCUCCACAGCCAUCUUUUAAGCUUCUGCUGAAGCCUUGCUAGCUCUGUACCUCCAACCAAUCUAGAGAGUGAGGUAAUUCAUUUCUUCUCAUAUCUUGAUCAAGAAAUAUGCUUUCACUUCAUAUGCAUUCAUUCUCAACUACAGGUGAUGCAGG
Long non-coding RNA from Pistacia vera, 828 nucleotides. RefSeq lists it as uncharacterized. NCBI's taxonomy places the organism in Eukaryota, Viridiplantae, Streptophyta, Magnoliopsida, Sapindales, Anacardiaceae. The record is from RefSeq and is a predicted model, not a curated record. The transcript is spliced from 3 exons.